GACCCCCUCUCUCACUUGUGCCUCCACCUGAUCUCCUUAUCUCCGCUGGAUCCAAUCGCGCCGCCCCCUCUGCCACCCACCUUGCCGGAUACCCAUCCCCUCCCACCGCCAGUAGGUCAUCCGAUGCGCAAGAGCUGCUCUUCCACUUCCCCUCCUCCUGGUGACCGUGGAGAACCACACGGAUGAGAGACACGCGGGAGCAUACGCGCCUGUCGGCCGGCCCGCAUGGUCACGCUCGCUCCCGUGGCCGGUCGCGCAGGACAAGGUUGUCGUGCUGGACUGUGUAGGAUGGUGGUGCAGGAGCGGCGGCGGUGUGCAGUCCGAUGGUUGCAGCUGCUCGAUGUCAUAGAUUUGGCCCAGAUCUUCAAUUUGGAAGGUCAUCGAUAUUGAUCAUUACAAUCUAACGCCAUUGACUGCAGUCUGUUCUGUCAACUACCUUGAUAGGAAGGCGAAGCUUAGAUGGUGCAGCACUUGGCAUUGGCAUGUUUGUCUCAGGCUGGAAAAUACUUCUGUGCCACUCCCGGUGGACCUGCAGCUUGCUUGUGGAAAAACUGGCAACGAGUAUCAAUCUGUCAGAUAAAAGGAUAACCCUUAAAAAAUUGGAUUAUUGGCUUGUGCAGUGUGAUGAAGUAAGUUGCUACUGACUCCACUUUUCCUGUUGUAUUUCUCUUGUACGUGUUUGUUUCUCACAUUCAACUUGCGUGAAUUUUGGUGCAUGUUUUUUCCAGUACACCUAUAUAUUCAUCGGUGCUUGUCAAUUAUUAACAUGAAGGAAAAGCUUUUUCAAUAUCUUGAUUCUCUUGGCGGCAUCCUAGCAUGUUUUUUGUUCAGGAUACAAGAUAUGAAGUGUUAAUUAUCACUACUAAUUGCAUUACUGCAUUUUUAACACCGGAUUAUUCUCCAACUAAAAAUAUGUGGUCUACUUCGGCAGUGAGUUGACGUGGAUUUCUUUGAGGCUGAACUUCUUUUGUAAUAGACAAGAUCAUGGUAUGGUCAUCGAUUUAUACAGAAAACUAUUAGUCUGGAUGGUAAAAUAGAUGCCUCCUGACUUUCAAACUCAGUCGAUAUGAUUAACUAUUUUUCUUUGGAGGUGCUUGAAUUUAUGUGUGCUUGAGGUUUGUAGAACAGGCAAGUCAAGUUCAAAUUGAGCACUAGCUUGAGAAUCUUGUCAGGCGUAGGUCGUAGUUUGUGGUAGACGACGCGCUGCAGCGGUGGGGAGAGAAGAAGACGCUAGAGGCAGCCUUUAUGGAGCGCGAGUUCAGGGAUGCCUUCCUUGAGCGUGUCUCGGAGGCGACAGCUAGCGCAAUGCAGUGGAGAAAUGGGUGAGAAAAGUUUUGGAUCAGCCAUGAUUACUUUAAACCUUUCCACUCUAUUGCGAUGUGAUCCAGGUAAAACGACCUCACUGGGAGUUGUAUGAAUUUGCAAGGAAGCAAAAGAUAAAAAAUGUUAUGGUCCAUAUUGACUGAAUUUCCCGAUUCAGUUUUCAUGUCCAUAUAGUGUUUGAGUUUUCGUCUUUUAGGUUAAGGUCCUAAUGAAUUCUUUCUCCAAUGACAUCCAAAUUCUUCUUGAUGACAUGUUCAGUUAAAUGCAUAUUUAGUUAUUUAUUGCUCA
Molecule: RNA transcript, 1611 nt
Organism: Lolium perenne
Lineage: Eukaryota; Viridiplantae; Streptophyta; Magnoliopsida; Poales; Poaceae
Source: RefSeq, a predicted model, not a curated record